GGCACCAUGGCCUAAUGGUAAGGCGUUGCUUUCCGGUGGCAAAGAUUGUGGGUUCGAGUCCCACUGGUGUCG
Molecule: transfer RNA, 72 nt
Rfam family: tRNA
About the family: Transfer RNA (tRNA) molecules are approximately 80 nucleotides in length. Their secondary structure includes four short double-helical elements and three loops (D, anti-codon, and T loops). Further hydrogen bonds mediate the characteristic L-shaped molecular structure. tRNAs have two regions of fundamental functional importance: the anti-codon, which is responsible for specific mRNA codon recognition, and the 3' end, to which the tRNAs corresponding amino acid is attached (by aminoacyl-tRNA synthetases). tRNAs cope with the degeneracy of the genetic code in two manners: having more than one tRNA (with a specific anti-codon) for a particular amino acid; and 'wobble' base-pairing, i.e. permitting non-standard base-pairing at the 3rd anti-codon position.
Source: Rfam